CGCGGGAUGGAGCAGCCCGGUAGCUCGUCAGGCUCAUAACCUGAAGGUCGGUGGUUCAAAUCCACCUCCCGCAACCA
This 77-nucleotide transfer RNA is filed under the name Rugositalea oryzae. Its description in RNAcentral is "Rhodoplanes sp. Z2-YC6860 tRNA-Met". It matches the Rfam family "tRNA". Rfam says of the family: Transfer RNA (tRNA) molecules are approximately 80 nucleotides in length. Their secondary structure includes four short double-helical elements and three loops (D, anti-codon, and T loops). RNAcentral also lists the same sequence under 7 other names. Lineage: Bacteria; Pseudomonadati; Pseudomonadota; Alphaproteobacteria; Hyphomicrobiales; Nitrobacteraceae. The record is from RNAcentral.